This 427-nucleotide ribosomal RNA is filed under the name uncultured bacterium. Its description in RNAcentral is "partial 16S ribosomal RNA". It matches the Rfam family "Bacterial small subunit ribosomal RNA", at positions 355 to 774 of the family's 1533-position model. The record is from RNAcentral.
UGGGGAAUAUUGGACAAUUGGGGCAACCCUGAUCCAGCCAUGCCGCGUGUGUGAAGAAGGCCUUUUGGUUGUAAAGCACUUUAAGCAGUGAAGAAGACUCCAUGGUUAAUACCCAUGGACGAUGACAUUAGCUGCAGAAUAAGCACCGGCUAACUCUGUGCCAGCAGCCGCGGUAAUACAGAGGGUGCAAGCGUUAAUCGGAAUUACUGGGCGUAAAGCGAGCGUAGGUGGCUUGAUAAGUCAGAUGUGAAAGCCCCGGGCUGAACCUGGGAACGGCAUCUGAUACUGUUAGGCUAGAGUAUGUGAGAGGAAGGUAGAAUUCCAGGGGUAGCGGUGAAAUGCGUAGAGAUCUGGAGGAAUACCGAUGGCGAAGGCAGCCUUCUGGCAUCAUACUGACACUGAGGUUCGAAAGCGUGGGUAGCAAACA